This is a long non-coding RNA of Toxotes jaculatrix (banded archerfish), 851 nucleotides long. RefSeq lists it as uncharacterized. The transcript has 6 exons. Lineage: Eukaryota; Metazoa; Chordata; Actinopteri; Toxotidae. The record is from RefSeq and is a predicted model, not a curated record.
GGUCGCCGGCGCUGCUGCGCUGCAGCGUGUCACGAGUCAACAUGCAGCCCAGGAAGUCUUUCAACACCGGAGACACCUGAACACAGGAGGGUACGACAUCAUCCGUGUGACACCGACUUCUGCCGGGCUGAAAAGGAUCACUGUGCUAACUGCUUCUUCAUGGCAGUGAUUGGUGUGUCGCUGAAAUAUGGCGGCUCACCAUCCACCAUCUCCACCACCAUGAUGCCCACAGACCAGAUGUCCACCUGAAGGACACAAGAGGAUCAGGACCUGGAUGUGUCCUUGUUGUUACCUCAGUACCAUAUGGUGUUUUGGAGAUCACCUCAGGAGCCAUCCAGUACGGCGUCCCAACCAGAGACUUCCUCUUUGGGACAUCUUUACUGACCUGAGCGCAGAAACCAAAGUCUGACAGUUUUAUCUGCAGCAGGACGGAAGAAGCAGAAAAGGAGGGAUUCAGUGUCAGCAAGAUGGAGUCACUCUUUAUGUCUCUGUGAAUGACGCCCUGAGAGUGAAGGUAGGACAGCGCCUGCAGGACGCCUUCACACACCGUCGCCAUCUGUUCCUCAUUCAACCUGAGACACGCAGAAACACCAUGAAACCACAAAGACCUGAGAAAAUCUACCAGACAAACAGAGCACUGCGGUACAUCUCCACCACGUUCUGGUGCUGGUAGUCCCGCAUGAUCACCACCUGAGACCAAACACAGGGACAGGUCCAUCAUUUUCACAGCCACCUGUCGCCCACUGUGCCUUUCUCGGGCGAUGCAGACCACACCUGUGGACCCCUCCCCGAUCUUCACAAAGUUCUCCAGAGUCAUCCUCGGGUCACCCGGGUCCACCACCAUCUGCAGC